AAUAUUCUAUUUAUGGAGUAUAGUCGCGCGGCUAUACGUUUGAAAUAUUGUAUUUAAAGAGUAUAGCUGUGCGGCUAUACACUUUAAAUAUAUUAUG
This 97-nucleotide microRNA precursor is filed under the name Prunus dulcis (almond). RNAcentral describes it as "sRNA ncRNA". The record is from RNAcentral. Lineage: Eukaryota; Viridiplantae; Streptophyta; Magnoliopsida; Rosales; Rosaceae.